This 76-nucleotide transfer RNA is filed under the name Kamptonema sp. PCC 6506. RNAcentral describes it as "tRNA-Arg". It matches the Rfam family "tRNA". From Rfam's summary of the family: Transfer RNA (tRNA) molecules are approximately 80 nucleotides in length. Their secondary structure includes four short double-helical elements and three loops (D, anti-codon, and T loops). Further hydrogen bonds mediate the characteristic L-shaped molecular structure. tRNAs have two regions of fundamental functional importance: the anti-codon, which is responsible for specific mRNA codon recognition, and the 3' end, to which the tRNAs corresponding amino acid is attached (by aminoacyl-tRNA synthetases). tRNAs cope with the degeneracy of the genetic code in two manners: having more than one tRNA (with a specific anti-codon) for a particular amino acid; and 'wobble' base-pairing, i.e. permitting non-standard base-pairing at the 3rd anti-codon position. The record is from RNAcentral. Lineage: Bacteria; Bacillati; Cyanobacteriota; Cyanophyceae; Oscillatoriales; Microcoleaceae.
UGGGUGCGUAACUCAGUUGGAUAGAGUAGCGGAUUUCUAAUCCGCCUGCCGCAGGUUCGAGCCCUGCCGUACCCGU